RNAcentral lists this long non-coding RNA (918 nucleotides) under Homo sapiens (human). RNAcentral describes it as "non-protein coding lnc-PJVK-2:22". The record is from RNAcentral. Lineage: Eukaryota; Metazoa; Chordata; Mammalia; Primates; Hominidae.
CGAGUAGCGGUGGCUGAAGAACGAGCAGGAGCUUGAAUUUCAGUUUUCUUAUGAGGAAUUUUCCAGAAAAGAUAUCUUCACUGUGAAAUAACUAAAUAAAUGCCCACUCAGUACAACAAAAAUACCUGCUACAUGCUUCCUUCUGUAUGAAUACAUGAGACCUACCUUCAUUCAUGUUUCCUCUAUGAAGCUUUCCCUGCACUCCAAACACAGAGCUGAGACUUCCACCUAAUGUAGAAAGCUAGCACGAGCCGGCGCUGACAGAUGGAAGACUUGAGAUGUUACAAGAUUAUAUAUGGAAACACAAAAGGAGUGGAGUUGCUGGGUCAUAUGGCAAUUCAUUUGAGGAACUGAGAAGCUUAUUCCAUGGAGGCUGAACUGUUUUAUAUUCCCACCAGCAACGUGUAAGGUUCCAGUUUAUCUACAUCAUCACCAACACUUGCUAUUUUCCAUUUCAUUAAUGAUAGCCAUCCUAGUGGAUUUGAAGUGGUACCUUAUUAUCGUGGUUUUGAUUGCAUUCUCUAUUGACUAAUGAUAUCGAGCAUCUUUUCAUGUAUUUUUUGGUCAUUUGGUCAUUUUUCUUUUUUAAUUUUAAAAUUUUGAGACAGGCUCUCACUAUGUUGCCCAGGUGGUCUCAAACUCCUGGGUUCCAGCGAUGCUCAUGCCUCAGUCUCCCAAAGGGGUGGGAUUACAGGUGUGAGCCACUUUGCCCAGCCCAUUUGUAUAUCUCCUUUGGAGAAUAUCUAGGUUCUUUUGAAGGUAGCUGCAUAUAAACUAGCCAAAUUAACAGACUGUGGUUUUUAGAUGGCUUUCCAUAUCUACAAGAACUAUUUAGUUCUCAAAACUGGGAAGAAAUGUUUCAGAGGCAUCAUUAAUUCAUAAUCUAAAAAUUUAUCUUGGGUUUCCUUUUUUCCCCCA